GCGCGGGUGGCGGAAUUGGUAGACGCACUACUUUGAGGUGGUAGCGCCGCGAGGCGUAGGAGUUCAAAUCUCCUCCCGCGCA
This 82-nucleotide transfer RNA is filed under the name [Chlorobium] sp. 445. Its description in RNAcentral is "Chlorobium sp. 445 tRNA-Leu". It matches the Rfam family "tRNA". Rfam says of the family: Transfer RNA (tRNA) molecules are approximately 80 nucleotides in length. The record is from RNAcentral. Lineage: Bacteria; Pseudomonadati; Chlorobiota; Chlorobiia; Chlorobiales; Chloroherpetonaceae. RNAcentral also lists the same sequence under 3 other names.